RNAcentral lists this ribosomal RNA (247 nucleotides) under uncultured bacterium. RNAcentral describes it as "partial 16S ribosomal RNA". It matches the Rfam family "Bacterial small subunit ribosomal RNA", at positions 530 to 776 of the family's 1533-position model. The record is from RNAcentral.
GGGUGCGAGCGUUAUCCGGAUUCACUGGGUUUGAAGGGUGCGUAGGUGGGAAUGUAAGUCAGUGGUGAAAUCUCUGAGCUUAACUCAGAAACUGCCAUUGAUACUAUGUUUCUUGAAUUUUCUGGAGGUCAGCGGAAUAUGUCAUGUAGCGGUGAAAUGCUUAGAUAUGACAUAGAACACCAAUUGCGAAGGCAGCUGGCUACAGGGAUAUUGACACUGAGGCACGAAAGCGUGGGGAGCGAACAGG